This 468-nucleotide ribosomal RNA is filed under the name uncultured bacterium. RNAcentral describes it as "partial 16S ribosomal RNA". It matches the Rfam family "Bacterial small subunit ribosomal RNA", at positions 28 to 507 of the family's 1533-position model. The record is from RNAcentral.
GACGAACGCUGGCGGCGUGCUUAACACAUGCAAGUCGAACGGAAAGGCCCUGCGUUUGUGGGGUGCUCGAGUGGCGAACGGGUGAGGAACACGUGAGUAACCUGCCCUUGACUUUGGGAUAACUUCAGGAAACUGGGGCUAAUACCGGAUAGGAGAUCCUGCUGCAUGGAGGGGGUUGGAAAGUUUCGGCGGGUGGGGAUGGACUCGCGGCUUAUCAGCUUGUUGGUGGGGUAGGGGUUUACCAAGGCUUUGAAUGGUAGGCGGCCUGGGAGGGUGACCGGCCACAUUGGGCCUGCGAUACGGCCCAGACUCCUACGGUGGGCAGCAGUGGGGAAUAUUGCACAAUGGGCGGAAGCCUGAUGCAGCAACGCCGCGUGCGGGAUGACGGCCUUCGGGUUGUAAACCGCUUUCGCCUGUGACGAAGCGUGAGUGACGGUAAUGGGUAAAGAAGCACCGGCUAACUACGUG